CCUACGGGGGGCUGCAGUGGGGAAUUUUGGACAAUGGGCGCAAGCCUGAUCCAGCCAUGCCGCGUGGGUGAAGAAGGCCUUCGGGUUGUAAAGCCCUUUCGGCCGGGAAGAAAUCGUGCGGGCGAACAGUCUGCAUGGAUGACGGUACCGGAAGAAGAAGCACCGGCUAACUACGUGCCAGCAGCCGCGGUAAUACGUAGGGUGCGAGCUGUAAUCGGAAUGUUUGGGGGUGAAGCCUGAGCAGGCGGGUGAAAUCCCCGGGCUUAACCUGGGAACUGCGGUUGUGACUGUGGUGCUAGAGUACGGCAGAGGGAGGUGGAAUUCCUGGUGUAGCAGUGAAAUGCGUAGAGAUCAGGAGGAACACCGAUGGCGAAGGCAGCCUCCUGGGCUGAUACUGACGCUCAUGCACGAAAGCGUGGGGAGCAAACAGGAUUAGAUACCCGAGUAGUC
RNAcentral lists this ribosomal RNA (450 nucleotides) under uncultured bacterium. Its description in RNAcentral is "partial 16S ribosomal RNA". It matches the Rfam family "Bacterial small subunit ribosomal RNA", at positions 338 to 795 of the family's 1533-position model. The record is from RNAcentral.